This is a long non-coding RNA of Homo sapiens (human), 1532 nucleotides long. Ensembl annotates it as long intergenic non-protein coding RNA 343. The record is from Ensembl. NCBI's taxonomy places the organism in Eukaryota, Metazoa, Chordata, Mammalia, Primates, Hominidae.
AGGCUGCAGUGAAUUCUACAAAGAGGCUAUGGGAAAGAAACCUGGAAAGUACCCUUGGCUGUGUACAUUUGAGUAAAGAGAGCACUAUAAAAUCAAAAACCAAUGAAAUGGUUUCCAGAACACAGAACUAUUAAGCUUAAGAAAAGGACAGAAGGAACUGAAGAGAGAGGAACUGUUUUGGAGCAUCACACUUCCACCUCAGAAGAAAUAAGGAAGGAAGGAGGAGGGUGUUCCCACGGCUCUUCAACCAGGCCGGCUCUUCAGCCUACAUCCCCAUCUCAUCAAGUAAAAGGGAUUUUUCAACUGGACCAACCAGAUGGUUUAACAGUGCACUCCCACACCAUUCAACUACGCAAGGGAGAUACACUUAACAUAUGCAGUCGUAUAACACCUACUAACAUUUUCAAACAUUAAACCUUUAAAAAAGAGUUCUAAAGAAAUAGAAGCUUGAAGUAUCAUCUCUCAAGUAUAUAGACACUACUUCAUGGUGUGGUAAUAUAUGCAUAUAGAAGCUAGUAAACACCUCCAGGAGAUGCAAAAGGAAUUAGAACUGCCACAAGGUGCAAGCAAAACCUUGAGCUUCUUUAAAAUAUGAAGACUUCGAAGUUAUUUAUCCAAACCAACCUGAUCAUUUCUUAAGAGUGAAUAUACCUUGGAAGACGUGUCCUGCCUUUAGUAGCGUCACAAUGGAUUACAUCCUCUAUAAAGCAGUCUGGGUUCUGUUUUUCCUCUUCUAAUCCUUCACCCAUCUGAGCUAAAGUCUAGACCUAAGGAGGCUACUAAUUCAGGGAUCGAGUAAUCUGCCAAGCAAGAGUUUAUUCAAGCACAGUUUGAAAUAAAGGUUUCAAAUGCAUAGCCUGUCGAUACUUUGGAAGGAUUCUCAUCAUAACGAGUAUGCAAUUUGCUAUAAAGAAGAAUGCCCAUUACGGACUAAAUGUUUAUGUCCUCCUAAAAUUCAUAUGUUGAAGGCCUAACUCUCAAUGUGAUGAUUAUGUGGAGAUGGUGCCUUUGGGAGGAUAUGGGAGGACACCUGAGACGGCAGGCCAGAAGUCACUCAGUAGGAGAAACAUCCGUUAGAAGUAAUAAUGUGGGAUUGCUGAAGUAAAGACUAUAGGAAGAAAAAAGUGUCUGUGUGUAGGAAACGGAAAGGGAGAGAAAAAUACACUGAGAUGGUAAAGUAAGGAAGUGGAAGAUCAGCAGAAUGUGCAGAUGCCAAGCCAUCCAAGAAAAUCAUCUCUUGUGAUUGUUGCGAAGUCAACUAGCUAAUGUGACUCACUGCUAGGCUGUUGGAUCUGAGACUUAUGUGGGAUAAUUUAGAAACUUGCUAGUGUCUUAAGAUCAAUUACUCACCAAUGAGAGUGGCAUUGAACUGUGAAUGUUCCUCCUAGAUUUUCCAUGAAGACUAAUGGUUUUGUCUUGUCUUGAAUUUGUUUUAAUUACAAUUUGUAUACAUCCUGUUCCACCCUGAAAUUUUUAUUUUCCAAAUGGUUUUUCAUUUAAAGAGACUAAAUAAAGGUUCUGACUGAGUUGUA